RNAcentral lists this ribosomal RNA (650 nucleotides) under uncultured marine bacterium. RNAcentral describes it as "bacterial SSU rRNA". It matches the Rfam family "Bacterial small subunit ribosomal RNA", at positions 74 to 729 of the family's 1533-position model. The record is from RNAcentral.
UUGCUACUUUGCUGACGAGCGGCGGACGGGUGAGUAAUGCUUGGGAACAUGCCUUGAGGUGGGGGACAACAGUUGGAAACGACUGCUAAUACCGCAUAAUGUCUACGGACCAAAGGGGGCUUCGGCUCUCGCCUUUAGAUUGGCCCAAGUGGGAUUAGCUAGUUGGUGAGGUAAUGGCUCACCAAGGCGACGAUCCCUAGCUGGUUUGAGAGGAUGAUCAGCCACACUGGGACUGAGACACGGCUCAGACUCCUACGGGAGGCAGCAGUGGGGAAUAUUGCACAAUGGGCGCAAGCCUGAUGCAGCCAUGCCGCGUGUGUGAAGAAGGCCUUCGGGUUGUAAAGCACUUUCAGUCAGGAGGAAAGGUUAGUAGUUAAUACCUGCUAGCUGUGACGUUACUGACAGAAGAAGCACCGGCUAACUCCGUGCCAGCAGCCGCGGUAAUACGGAGGGUGCGAGCGUUAAUCGGAAUUACUGGGCGUAAAGCGUACGCAGGCGGUUUGUUAAGCGAGAUGUGAAAGCCCCGGGCUCAACCUGGGAACUGCAUUUCGAACUGGCAAACUAGAGUGUGAUAGAGGGUGGUAGAAUUUCAGGUGUAGCGGUGAAAUGCGUAGAGAUCUGAAGGAAUACCGAUGGCGAAGGCAGCCACC